CCUACGGGGGGCAGCAGUGGGGGAUAUUGCACAAUGGGGGGAACCCUGAUGCAGCGACGCCGCGUGGGUGAAGAAGCGCCUCGGCGCGUAAAGCCCUGUCAGCAGGGAAGAAAAUGACGGUAACUGAAGAAGAAGCCCCGGCUAACUACGUGCCAGCAGCCGCGGUAAUACGCAGGGGGCAAGCGUUAUCCGGAUUUACUGGGUGUAAAGGGGGCGCAGACGGCGAUGCAAGCCGGGGGUGAAAGCGCGGGGCCCAACCCCGGGAAGGCUCUUGGAACUGCGUGGCUGGAGUGCAGGAGGGGCAGGCGGAAUUCCGGGUGUAGCGGUGAAAUGCGUAGAUAUCAGGAGGAACGCCGGUGGCGAAGGCGGCCUGCUGGACUGCAACUGACGUUGAGGCCCGAAAGCGUGGGGAGCAAACAGGAUUAGAUACCCUUUC
This 436-nucleotide ribosomal RNA is filed under the name uncultured bacterium. RNAcentral's name for it is "partial 16S ribosomal RNA". It matches the Rfam family "Bacterial small subunit ribosomal RNA", at positions 338 to 791 of the family's 1533-position model. The record is from RNAcentral.